AAAGGUCAUCCCUCCCCAUAGCAACGAGGGGGCCUGACAGGCCCUAAAUGCACUUUGAGAAUGUAAUCGGGACAUUGUUUUUGCAACCCGCUACUUCCAGGAAGACUCUGAAGUGGGCAGAGUCAUGGGCCUGCCUUUAAAUAGCCAGAGCUUCCUGUCAGCUAGGUACUCCAAACUUCUUUCCCUUGCUUCCCAACGUCUGCGUUCAACGUGGCCUUCGGGUAACAAUGCUGAGGAAGACGGCAAUCCUUUCAGUGCUGCUGGCUCUGAUUCUGGUUGAUCUGCUAAAGGCACAAGGUACCCCUGUUACCCCUCUGCUUGGGGCAACAAGUGUGGAACAAAGCAGAGAUUCCAGUGUGCAACCAAGCACAGAGUCCCCCCUGGACUACAGCAGAGACCCAUACAAAGAGGAAGGCAUGGAACAAAUUGGGAACACUGGAGUGCAAGAAGGUGGACAGGCCACUUGGGAGCUGAGCGGAGAGCCAAGUACUGACUCUACCCCCAACCCAAGUGUGGAGCCAAGCAAAGAGUCAACCACCGAAAUAUCUGAAUGAACUGCAACAUUAAGUCCUGAUGGAAAAGCAACAGCCACACUCACCUGCUGAGUUGACUUUGCCACAUAUGAACACACAAUUAGUGCUUGCAGCAAACUGGACAGCAGAGCAGAACUUGCUGCAGCCUAGAACAACAGCUUGUAGGAAAAUAGUAACCACGGCCUUCAGUCCAAGAACUUGGUUUCAUUCUUGUUUAUUUCAACUGUAAAAGUUUAGUUUGAUCACAGGUGACCUGUGCUGUGCUGCUUCCAUAGUAAUUGGAAAUAAAGAAUGUCAGUGCAACUACA
This 841-nucleotide long non-coding RNA is filed under the name Dromaius novaehollandiae (emu). RNAcentral's name for it is "lncRNA (ENSDNVG00000008144.1)". The record is from RNAcentral. Lineage: Eukaryota; Metazoa; Chordata; Aves; Casuariiformes; Dromaiidae.